This 495-nucleotide long non-coding RNA is filed under the name Apteryx owenii (little spotted kiwi). RNAcentral describes it as "lncRNA (ENSAOWG00000013520.1)". Lineage: Eukaryota; Metazoa; Chordata; Aves; Apterygiformes; Apterygidae. The record is from RNAcentral.
AUGCAGAAAGGGUGCUGGCUUGCUUUUAUCACAUCAAAGCCUGAUAACAGCAAUUCUGUGCUUACCAACCUCCCUCAUGAGCGUAUACAGCAUCCACAGAUGCCUUUGAAGACUUCUGCUGAGGAUCAUGGACCAUGUCCUAGUUCUCUAAUCCUGCAAGGAGAUAACAGUCCCACAAUGGAGGAAAUGGGCAAAAGUGAUGGAAUCAGUGAGCUGAAACAUCUGCACAUCACCAGCAGCUGCCACUGCCCUCAAGGAAAUCUUCCAGAGAAGUCCUUUGAAGGCAAAUUGCUUACCCAAAAAAGCACUUGGAUAAGUGAAGGAUACAGGAGAGUAGAAGAGAGAUCCCAAGAUAUAUUAUGGCCUGCAGAGGACAGUGGUUAUUUACAAGUAUCUCUAGAGCAGGCAAAGACAACCCAAAAGGUUUUUACUGAGAAAAAGAGUUUCCUCUCUAUUUCUUUUCCACCUCUGUCAAUGCUGGGAAUGUCAGGAUAG